CACAAAAACAUCCACCACACAAACACUAUCAUUAUCAGCAGCACACAAAACACCAUCUAAAUCUCACCCAAAUCGUCAGAUCUAUCACCACAAAAUUGCCGCCACCACCACCACACAAAACACCAUCCAAACCCACAAAAUUGCCACCAACCCAAGCUAUUUCUGCUUCGCGUGGCUUGCUAUAGUGUUCCGACGAUUUCAUUUCACCAUCGGAGUAGUAGAUUUGCUUCACUAAUUCAUUUCAUUAUCUCAGCUCGUGGUGAUUUGGGAAGGGAAAAGUACGACGACGUGGUAUUUCUUCAUUACAGUAGCACCAGCGAAGGGUACUCCAGCAAUGACAUGCUUCGAUGACGACGACGUCUAACGAAGAGGAGACAUGAGAUGGAGUCAAGGAGAUGAAGAGGAGUCAGUGACAAGAGGGAGAUGGACAAUGAGAGUGAAAUGAAGAGAGAAGGGAAAUGAGAAGGGUUUUUAAUUGAAUUGAGUGGGUUAAUUAUAUAUAAUACCUUAUUUUUGCAUAAAUAAAUUUUACCCCUGAAUUUUUAAUUUGAAAGUUUUAAUACCUAAUUUUUUGUAAUUUCCUCUUUCAAGAAUGUGUAAUGAAGCUUGAAAGAGGAGAAGAUGAAAUGAUGAAGAUGAAUGAAAUGUUUGGUUAAGUUUUCUUCUUCCCGACCUCUCCUCUUAAUCUCUUCUUCUCCGGUCUUCUCCCUCCAUUCUCUCCCUUUUCUGCUGCCUAUUUCUUUUUAAUCCUCUGCUUAUUUUCUGCUGGUUAUUGUUCAACUGCUAAAAUCCCAUUGAUCCUACAUCAUCUUUCCCGGUCACUUAUAUAUGUGUUUCUUUGGUAUCCUGGUGCUCGUUUGAAUAGCAUAGUUUUAUACAAUGGGUCGUUGAAUUGUUAAGCUAGAACUUCAUUUAUAAUAAUUCAUCCUAG
RNAcentral lists this long non-coding RNA (931 nucleotides) under Olea europaea subsp. europaea. The record is from RNAcentral. Lineage: Eukaryota; Viridiplantae; Streptophyta; Magnoliopsida; Lamiales; Oleaceae.